Molecule: RNA transcript, 1737 nt
Organism: Brassica oleracea var. oleracea
Lineage: Eukaryota; Viridiplantae; Streptophyta; Magnoliopsida; Brassicales; Brassicaceae
Gene name: BTB/POZ and MATH domain-containing protein 2-like
Exons: 5
Source: RefSeq, a predicted model, not a curated record
AGCAAGUAAAGUGUUCAUCUCUCCCACAUCUCUCUCUCUCCCACAUCUCUCUCUCUCUCUCUUCCCCUCGUAUCAGCCAACGUCGUCGUCACGAUCCACGACGAUUCAGCUCCGAACUACCAUCGAUUCUUGCUUCGACACCUCAUUCCUCUUCCUUCCCUCGUCCUCUCUCUCAAAUUCUCAACCUUUCCCCCUCCAAUUCAAAACCCUAACCUCCCCCAAUUCAACACCACCUCACCUCCUUUCGAGAUUCCACGACCUGGGUCUUGAUCCCAACCAAUCAAAUCUCAGAAGCCCUCAAUCUCUCUCCCCAAAGUCGCGACCUUUGAAAAUCUCGCCUCCGUUUUGAAUGGACGCAAUCAAGGCUUCCACGGAGUCAACCUCCCACACGGAAACCCUCAACGGCACCCACGAGUUCAAGAUCAGCGGCUACUCUCUAAUCAAAGGCAUGGGCGUGGGCAAAUACGUCGCCUCCGAGACCUUCACCCUCGGCGGAUACUCCUGGGCCAUCUACUUCUACCCGGAUGGUAAAAGCCCCGAGGAUAACUCUGUCUACGUGUCUCUCUUCAUAGCCUUAGCGAGCGAAGGAGCUGACGUCAGGGCUUUGUUUGAGCUCACGCUCGUUGAUCAGAGCGGUAACGAAAGGCAUAAGGUUCAUAGCCAUUUCGGGAGGACGCUCGAGAGUGGGCCUUAUACUCUUAAGUAUAGAGGAAGUAUGUGGGGAUACAAGCGGUUUUUCAAGAGGAGUCUUUUGGAGUCAUCUGACUAUUUGAAGGAUAAUUGUUUGUUGGUUCGGUGUUGUGUGGGGCUGGUGAAGUCAAGGACAGAGGGGCCGAGGAGUUAUAAUAUCCCUGUUCCGGUCUCUGAGUUUGGUCGUCAGUUUGGGAAGGUUUUGGAGAGUGGGAGAGGAGCUGAUGUGACUUUCCAUGUUGAUGGAGAGACGUUUCCUGCUCAUAAGCUGGUUCUUGCAGCUCGUUCUCCUGUUUUUAGAGCGCAGAUCUUUGGCCCGUUGAAGAGCCGUGAUACUGAAUGUAUUGACAUAGAAGACAUGGAAGCUCCCAUUUUUAAGAUGUUCCUACAUUUUAUCUACUGGGACGAAUUACCUGAUAUGCAAGACGUUAUGGGGACAGACUUGAAAUGGGCAGCGACUCUUGUGGCUCAGCAUCUGCUUGCGGCUGCAGAUCGUUAUGCUCUUGAACGACUUAGAACAAUCUGCGAGUCACAACUCUGUGAAGGGAUUAGCAUCAACACGGUUGCAACCACCUUGGCUUUGGCAGAGCAGCAUCAUUGUUUCCAGCUGAAAGCUGCUUGCCUCAAAUUCAUAGCUUCGCCAGAGAAUCUAAAAGCUGUGAUGGAAACCGAUGGGUUUGAUUAUCUGAAAGAAAGCUGCCCGUGCUUACUAAGUGAGCUUCUGGAGUAUGUGGCUAGGCUUAGUGAGCAUUCUUUAGCAUCUUCAGGGCAUGGGAAGGAGUUAUAUGUUGAGGGCUGUGACGUGAAUGGGAGACGAGUGAAGCAACGGUUACACUAAGUAGUAACUAACUCUUGAGGGUGAGAGUACUGAUGUUGGAUACAUUUGGUAGAGGAGUCAUGAUUUGUGUAUUUAUCAUUUGUAAAAGGAUUAGUGAUUGUAAUCUAUGUUGUCCAGUAAGUAGAGUGAAAACCACUUCUCUUCAGAAAAAAGUUUCAUGUUACUAAGUGAAUUGAGGACAAAGAGAAUAAUCGUCUUACUUUACGACA